AGCUUUGAACAGUGGCAGUACUAUAGUCAGUGAGGUUUAGCUGAGGCAUGAUUAUUACUAAAAAAAUAAUCUGUGGGUAUAUCUGUUGAUUUCUGUAUCUGAGAUUGUACAAAACAAGUGGUCACUCCACUACUCUCCGUGGUG
This 144-nucleotide small nuclear RNA is filed under the name Ictidomys tridecemlineatus (thirteen-lined ground squirrel). RNAcentral's name for it is "U4 spliceosomal RNA (ENSSTOG00000030553.1)". The record is from RNAcentral. Lineage: Eukaryota; Metazoa; Chordata; Mammalia; Rodentia; Sciuridae.